AUAAAACAUUUUUAAACUCUAAAUUUUACAUUUUAAAGUUUCAUAUUACUUAAAAAAUGUUACAAAAUGAUAAUAAAUAUUGUUAACAAAAGAUAUUUUAACUAAAUCAUAAAAUAAUAUAUAUAUAUAUAUAUAUAUAAUAGAACACAAAAAAUCAUAAUUUUGGAAAUACAUGUUUUUAAGUUAGGUACAAAUCGAUUCUUAUCGGGUCGGGUCUAUUCAGAUCGGUUCUUUUCGGGUCCGGAUCUAUUCGGGUCGUUUCUUUUCAGUUCCGGUUCUUUUGGGUAAAAUAAAUUUAGACUGUAAAAGUAAUUAUAAAUUUUAUGUUCGAUUUCGAGUCGGGUAUUUGCAGGUAGCGUUUUACGGGUAUUUUAUGCGUAUUUUAACUAUAAAUUCGGGUCGGAUUUUCGGGUCGAGGUUAAAAUGUCCCAAACCUAGAUGCUACCAUAGCGUUUUGCGAACACACGGUAUCGCCGCAUCACGCGUUUUGUAAGACACUAGUUUGAGAAAAAGAAAGCUUCUACGGUUCUACCGUUUUGGUUUUGCAGGAAAUGGUCAACUGGUUUAUUCUGGUUUCGAUAACCAAAUUGAGACGAGUGUAAACUGGUUUGUUUCGGUUACGUCUCAAUUUCCAUUUGGUCUGUGAUAAUCUUCUUCCUUCUGUACGAAUUUCGGUUCGAUUAGUCAAACUAAAACCGGUUAGAUCGGUUCGAUUUAGAGAGAGUUUGAAAGCUUGAAGCAAGGUAGCAGUGCUAUUAAAGCGAUUCAAAGCGAGGUGGACCUUGAUGAUGUUCAGAAACUAAUGGAUGAUACUGCUGAUGCUAAAGCCUAUCAAGAUGUGAGUCCAAACUUUGUUACCACUUUUGAAUCCUUCUGUGUUUGACUGUGUUAACAUUUGUUGGAUGUUCAGGAGCUGAAUGCUAUAUUGGGAGAGAAACUAUCAGCAGAGUAUGAAGAAGAGAUAUUAGCAGAAUUUGACAAACUAGAAAGAAGUUAGCUUGUUGUUGAUGAGAUGCCUGAUGUGCCUACAACGGAGCCUGACGAAUCUGAGAAGCUGAAUCUUCCUGAUGUGCCAACGGAAACACCUGUCGCUUCAAGAGCUGAAUCUGCCACAAAGAGAAAAGAUUCUUCUUCAUCUCCCUCUCCUUGUGAUGGUAUUGUUCGAUUUUGCAAGAACCUAAACUCAAAACAUGUUUUGUUUGGUCUGUUCCUUUCACUCUGCAGUUCUCGAAGAACCUUUGCCAGCUUAAGCAAGAAGAAACUGAUCAACAUUAUCAUUCUUUUAGCACUUUUUAAAAUUUUCUUGAAGCUUACUGUAUAAACUUGAAGUCAUAGUCAUUCGUAGAUAAACCAAUCCGGAUUAUGACAAGAGUGUUACAUCUC
Molecule: long non-coding RNA, 1383 nt
Organism: Brassica napus (rape)
Lineage: Eukaryota; Viridiplantae; Streptophyta; Magnoliopsida; Brassicales; Brassicaceae
Exons: 2
Source: RefSeq, a predicted model, not a curated record